GUGGGGAAUCUUCCGCAAUGGACGAAAGUCUGACGGAGCAACGCCGCGUGAGUGAUGAAGGUCUUCGGAUUGUAAAGCUCUGUUAAUCGGGACGAAAGAGCCUAGUGUGAAUAAUGCUAGGAAGUGACGGUACCGGAAUAGAAAGCCACGGCUAACUACGUGCCAGCAGCCGCGGUAAUACGUAGGUGGCAAGCGUUGUCCGGAAUUAUUGGGCGUAAAGCGCGCGCAGGCGGAUCUGCCAGUCUGUCUUAAAAGUUCGGGGCUUAACCCCGUGAUGGGAUGGAAACUACAGAGCUAGAGUAUCGGAGAGGAAAGUGGAAUUCCAAGUGUAGCGGUGAAAUGCGUAGAGAUUUGGAAGAACACCAGUGGCGAAGGCGACUUUCUGGACGAUGUCUGACGCUGAGGCGCGAAAGCUAGGGGAGCGAACGGGAUUAGAAACCCCUGUAGUCC
RNAcentral lists this ribosomal RNA (450 nucleotides) under uncultured bacterium. RNAcentral describes it as "partial 16S ribosomal RNA". It matches the Rfam family "Bacterial small subunit ribosomal RNA", at positions 354 to 796 of the family's 1533-position model. The record is from RNAcentral.